This 494-nucleotide ribosomal RNA is filed under the name uncultured bacterium. RNAcentral describes it as "partial 16S ribosomal RNA". It matches the Rfam family "Bacterial small subunit ribosomal RNA", at positions 28 to 507 of the family's 1533-position model. The record is from RNAcentral.
GACGAACGCUGGCGGCGUGCUUAACACAUGCAAGUCGAACGGAAAGGCCUGCUUUCCCUUGUGGAUUGCGGGUGCUCGAGUGGCGAACGGGUGAGUAACACGUGAGUGAUCUGCCCCCAACUUGGGUAUAAGCCUGGGAAACUGGGUCUAAUUCCCGAUAGGACUGCAGGGUGGUGCCUGUGGUGGAAAACGAUUUUCUAGUGGUUGGGGAUGAGCUCGCGGCCUAUCAGCUUGUUGGUGGGGUAAUGGCCUACCAAGGCGGCGACGGGUAGCCGGCCUGAGAGGGUGGACGGCCACAUUGGGACUGAGAUACGACCCAGACUCCUACGGGAGGCAGCAGUGGGGAAUAUUGCAGAAUGGGCGGAAGCCUGAUGCAGCGACGCCGCGUGGGGGAUGACGGCCUUCGGGUUGUAAACUCCUUUCGACCGCGAGGAAGCCGCCUGGUUGGAAGGGUGGUGACGGUAGUGGUAGAAGAAGCACCGGCUAACUACGUG